This 511-nucleotide ribosomal RNA is filed under the name uncultured bacterium. Its description in RNAcentral is "partial 16S ribosomal RNA". It matches the Rfam family "Bacterial small subunit ribosomal RNA", at positions 28 to 523 of the family's 1533-position model. The record is from RNAcentral.
GACGAACGCUGGCGGCGUGCCUAAUACAUGCAAGUAGAACGCUGAAGGAGGAGCUUACUUCUCUGGAUGAGUUGCGAACGGGUGAGUAACGCGUAGGUAACCUGCCUGGUAGCGGGGGAUAACUAUUGGAAACGAUAGCUAAUACCGCAUAAGAGUAGAUGUUGCAUGACAUUUACUUAAAAGGUGCAAUUGCACCACUACCAGAUGGACCUGCGUUGUAUUAGCUAGUUGGUGGGGUAACGGCUUACCAAGGCGACGAUACAUAGCCGACCUGGGAGGGUGAUCGGCCACGCUGGGACUGAGACACGGCCCAGACCACUACGGGAGGCAGCAGUAGGGAAUCUUCGGCAAUGGACGGAAGUCUGACCGAGCAACGCCGCGUGAGUGAAGAAGGUUUUCGGAUCGUAAAGCUCUGUUGUAAGAGAAGAACGAGUGUGAGAGUGGAAAGUUCACACUGUGACGGUAUCUUACCAGAAAGGGACGGCUAACUACGUGCCAGCCGCCGCAGUAA